Non-coding RNA from Ictidomys tridecemlineatus (thirteen-lined ground squirrel), 1042 nucleotides. Lineage: Eukaryota; Metazoa; Chordata; Mammalia; Rodentia; Sciuridae. The record is from RefSeq and is a predicted model, not a curated record.
UCCGUGUUCAUGCUGCUGAACAAUGUGGAUGACAGGAAAGGCCAGGUGAUGGCUCCAGUAUCUGAAAGCUCAAGGAAGAUCAUGUUUUAUGAACAAGGCUGCUGCAAACAAGCAAAAUGGGUCAAUUAAAUUGAAAGAAAGACAUCAAGGAGCAUUUCUGCUCUGCUUUAGUUUUGGGGAGGAAUUGUCACAAACUCCAGGAAUGUCUGUUAGAAGUGCCUUUUCUCUGAGAGGAGAAAGGAUAAUGGAUACUUUUAAAGCUUCAACAGAUAAGAUCCUGCUCUUUGCUAGGAGAGAAGCUGCAAGAAGAGAAGGCAGCACUGCGAACCCUGAAGAUACCCACUUCCUUCACCUGGAACGAAAGACAAAUAUUUUCACUCCUCCAGAUUGGCUUUUCUAACUGUGUAUGGCUACAAGAAGCACCCCACAGCUGGGACUGGCUGGUGGCCCAGGACAUCUGGAUAUGGCUGGAAGCCUUGCUGGGAUGGAGAUGCAGACCUGAUGCUUGCUUUGGAGGGGAGAGGGACAAGGUAGUCACGUCUUCCAAAGGCUCAGAUUCCUCACUGUUGAAUGGGGACAGCAAGGAUCGACUUGGCUAUGGAAGAAGAUAUGUCUGGAUUCAGAUCCUGGGAUCCUGGCUCAGCCACCUACUACCCACAUUAAUGUCAGGCGAUAGACUCAAUUUCCCCAAUUCUUAAUCUCUUUACAUCUAAAUGGAAAUAAUGAGGCCUGAUUUGUAGCAUUGUUGCAAAAAUUAGGCAUAUCAUAAAGACAGCCCAUAACAGAGGAACAUAACACAGAGCCAGGUAUGGUAAUGGUAACAAAAUGUGUUUACUAAUCCUACCCUGGUAUGACCUGGUCUUCUGAAGCCUGCCCCCGGGUUCCACCAUGCAGCAGCUGACAACUGUAAUUCUAUAAUGACCCCUCUUCCUUUACCUUGGAUCAUCACGGAUAACUUGAAACUCAUUAACUCACAUGUGCUUGCAUUAUUAUAUAUUUCAAUUUCAAUUUGUUUUCUGAAAUAAAAUCCCUUGAAUUAAAA